AGAGAGAGAGAGAGAGAGAGGAGAAAUGAGAAGGAGAAGGUGUUUGAAGGGUAAUUGGAACCUUCUUUUUUGGAGUAUUAUUUUUGAAGGGGUGUGAGAUGAGAUGGUUUUGUUUUUGGGUGCAUAUGAGAUGACAUGGUUUUUAAUUGAUGGGCAAGGUGGGAUGGUAAGGAGGCUUUAGAGAGAACAAAGACCGAAGACAAAGUGGUUUGAAUUCUACCAACCAAGGCUUAAGAGUAGGGAGUCUUGGAGGAUUAACUCUGUUCUCAGACCAUUUCUUUUGUUAUUUUGUGUUCAAUUUGGAUAUUAUCAUCUCUAGUGAGUGUGAAUGAACCUGGAGUUCGUUGAAGACUAAUAAGGGGAAGAAAAAGGAGGCAUCUCAUCAGUCUCUUUUAAACUUUAGUGCUUGCAAAGUUGGUAGGGGCCUUUUUUUUUUCUCUUCUUUUCUUUUCUUCUUUUAUCUUUUUGUGCAUGCAAAAGCGUUUUUAUUAAAGAGAGAAAAGUUCAAAUAAUUUUUUGUCCAAGCAAAUAAUUAUUUCGAUUCCUAUGUUCAGUAAACAUGACUUCUCUGGUGCAUCUAAGCAAAAUAGAGUUCAUGUAGUUGGGUGUUUAG
Molecule: long non-coding RNA, 613 nt
Filed under: Phoenix dactylifera (date palm)
Lineage: Eukaryota; Viridiplantae; Streptophyta; Magnoliopsida; Arecales; Arecaceae
Description: long non-coding RNA (PDAC_LNC002646)
Source: RNAcentral